AGUGGAAGCGUCUGGAAAGGCGCGCGAUACAGGGUGACAGCCCCGUACACAAAAGCGCAUGUGCUGUGAGCUCGAUGAGUAGGGCGGGACACGUGGUAUCCUGUCUGAAUAUGGGGGGACCAUCCUCCAAGGCUAAAUACUCCUGACUGACCGAUAGUGAACCAGUACCGUGAGGGAAAGGCGAAAAGAACCCCGGCGAGGGGAGUGAAAAAGAACCUGAAACCGUGUACGUACAAGCAGUGGGAGCACCCUUUGGGGUGUGACUGCGUACCUUUUGUAUAAUGGGUCAGCGACUUAUAUUCUGUAGCAAGGUUAACCGWAUAGGGGAGCCGKAGGGAAACCGAGUCUUAAYYGGGCGUUAAGUUGCAGGGUAUAGACCCGAAACCCGGUGAUCUAGCCAUGGGCAGGUUGAAGGUUGGGUAACACUAACUGGAGGACCGAACCGACUAAUGUUGAAAAAUUAGCGGAUGACCUGUGGCUGGGGGUGAAAGGCCAAUCAAACCGGGAGAUAGCUGGUUCUCCCCGAAAGCUAUUUAGGUAGCGCCUCGUGAAYUCAUCUCCGGGGGUAGAGCACUGUUUCGGCUAGGGGGCCAUCCCGGCUU
Molecule: ribosomal RNA, 602 nt
Filed under: Salmonella enterica
Lineage: Bacteria; Pseudomonadati; Pseudomonadota; Gammaproteobacteria; Enterobacterales; Enterobacteriaceae
Description: partial 23S ribosomal RNA
Source: RNAcentral